This 102-nucleotide non-coding RNA is filed under the name Vibrio cholerae. Its description in RNAcentral is "traJ-II". It matches the Rfam family "traJ-II RNA". The record is from RNAcentral. Lineage: Bacteria; Pseudomonadati; Pseudomonadota; Gammaproteobacteria; Vibrionales; Vibrionaceae.
GGGCAGGAUAGGUGAAGUGGUCCCCCCGACAAGUCGGCGGUUACCACUUCACUUCCCUUAUUCGCGCCAGGGCGCUCAACGGUAAUCCUGCCCUGCGGGGCC